RNAcentral lists this ribosomal RNA (468 nucleotides) under uncultured bacterium. RNAcentral's name for it is "partial 16S ribosomal RNA". It matches the Rfam family "Bacterial small subunit ribosomal RNA", at positions 28 to 507 of the family's 1533-position model. The record is from RNAcentral.
GACGAACGCUGGCGGCGUGCCUAACACAUGCAAGUCGAACGGAAAGGCCCUGCUUUUGUGGUGUGCUUGAGUGGCGAACGGGUGAGUAACACGUGAGUAACCUGCCCUUGACUUUGGGAUAACUUUUGGAAACUGGGGCUAAUACCGGAUAGGAGUUCCUGCUGCAUGGUGUGGGUUGGAAAGUUUCGGUGGUUGGGGAUGGACGGGCGGCUUAUUAGCUUGUUGGUGAGGUAGUGGCUUACCAAGGCUUUGACGGGUAGCCGGCCUGGGAGUGUGACCGGCCACAUAGGGACAGAGAUAGGACCCAGACGCCAACGGGGGGAAGCGGUGGAGAAUAUAGCACAAUGGGCGGAAGCCUGAUGCAGCAACGCCGCGUGCGGAAGGACGGCCGUCGGGGUAGAAACCGCUUUCGCCUGUAACGAAGCGAGAGUGACGGUAAUGUAUAAAAAAGCACCGGCUAACUACGUG